Odocoileus virginianus texanus is the source of this 1078-nucleotide non-coding RNA. The record is from RefSeq and is a predicted model, not a curated record. Lineage: Eukaryota; Metazoa; Chordata; Mammalia; Artiodactyla; Cervidae.
ACUGUGUGCCACUUAUCAUUUAAAUGGGUAGGUACUUGGUUUUGAUCUCCUGCUGAUAUUAACCAAAGUGGUUGUUAUUUCCAUGUAUGGAAUUCUGCUAUAUUAAGGGGUGCUUGAGACUUUGUGAAUUAUAGACAAGUUUUAUAUAAUGUUGAUAAUUCCUACAUAUGCUAACUUAGAGGGAAAGGGGACGAAAAAGGAGGAUAAAGAGAAGGUGAUAAAUAUGGUUUUAAAGAGAACAAGAAAACCACAAGGGAAAAAGAUCAUCACCACCUUCGAAUAGCUAAGUAGGAAAGAUAAAUUUGGUUUUCUUCCCCCUCUCACUGCUGUGUAUGUUCCACUUCCUUUACAAAUGACCAAAAUUUAAAUGGACUCAGACUUUGAAAAAAGCAAAAUCCAGAUAAAAUAGCGUUUAUACAACUACUUAGAUUCAACUUGAUAUUCCACACUAUAUACAGCUAAUUGUACCUCCAUAGAAUCUAUGACUCUAAAAUCAGCACAUCUUGCUUUUCGGCCGGAACUGCCAUCUUCCAGUAAUUUGCUAAAAUGACCAACACAAAGGGAAAGAGAAGGGGCACCCACUACAUGUUCUCUAGGCCUUUUAUAAAACAUGGAGUUGUUCCUUUGGCCACAUACAUGCGAAUCUACAAGAAGGGAGAUAUUGUAGAUAUCAAGGGAAUGGGUACUGUUCAAAAAGGAAUGCCCCACAAAUGUUACCAUGGCAAAACUGGGAGAGUCUACAAUGUUACCCAGCAUGCUGUUGGCAUCAUUGUAAACAAACAAGUUAAGGGCAAGAUACUUGCCAAGAGAAUUAAUGUGCGUAUGGAGCAUAUUAAGCACUCUAAGAGCCGAGAUAGCUUCCUAAAACGUGUGAAGGAAAAUGAUCAGAAAAAGAAGGAAGCCAAAGAGAAAGGGGCUUGGGUUCAGCUGAAGCGCCAGCCUGCUCCACCCAGAGAAGCACACUUUGUGAGGACCAAUGGAAAGGAACCUGAACUGUUGGAACCCAUUCCCUAUGAAUUCAUGGCCUGAAGGGUGUAAAAAUAAAGACCUGGACUGUACAAAUGUUUCUCUUAAUUGA